AAAAAGUCAAACCCUGAUUUUCCUUGUCCAACUUUGAUUUGACUGUUCGUUUUAUAUGAAAUUUUUUUAUAAUUCGUAUUUUCAUUGUUGUUAGAUGAUAAAACAUGAUUAAUACUUUAUGCGUGACUUUUUUUAAAAAAAGAAUCAUAAUUUUUUCAAAUAAGACGGACAGUCAAAAGUUGGACACGGAAAUCAGGGUUUGUCUUUUU
This is a non-coding RNA of Oryza glumipatula, 209 nucleotides long. The record is from Rfam. NCBI's taxonomy places the organism in Eukaryota, Viridiplantae, Streptophyta, Magnoliopsida, Poales, Poaceae.